UUACAAUUGGAAUGAGUACAAUUUAAAUCUCUUAACGAGUAACAAUUGGAGGGCAAGUCUGGUGCCAGCAGCCGCGGUAAUUCCAGCUCCAAUAGCGUAUAUUAAAGUUGCUGCAGUUAAAAAGCUCGUAGUUGAAUUUCUGGUGGGAGCGUACAGUCCGACACUGAGUGCUGGUUCUUGUGUGUCUCCGGCCAUCCUUGGAGUGAAUCUGUCUGGCAUUCAGUUGUUGGGCAGAGUAUCUCCAUCGUUUACUGUGAGGAAAUGAGAGUGUUCAAAGCAGGCUUACGCCGUUGAAUCUUUUAGCAUGGAAUAAUAAGAUAGGAUCUUGAUACUAUUUUGUUGGUUUGCGUGUCAAGAUAAUGAUCAAUAGGGACAGUUGGGGGUAUUUGUAUUCCAUAGUCAGAGGUGAAAUUCUUGGAUUUAUGGAAGACAAACUAAUGCGAAAGCAUCUACCAAGGAUGUUUUCAUUAAUCAAGAACGAAAGUGUGGGGAUCGAAGAUGAUUAGAUACCAUCGUAGUCUACACCAUAAACCAUGCCGA
Molecule: ribosomal RNA, 540 nt
Filed under: uncultured diatom
Lineage: Eukaryota; Bacillariophyta
Description: SSU rRNA
Rfam family: Eukaryotic small subunit ribosomal RNA
Source: RNAcentral